UACGUAGGUGGCAAGCGUUGUCCGGAAUUAUUGGGCGUAAAGCGCGCGCAGGCGGUCCUUUAAGUCUGUGGUGAAAGCCCACGGCUCAACCGUGGAGGGUCAUUGGAAACUGGGGGACUUGAGUGCAGAAGAGGAGAGUGGAAUUCCACGUGUAGCGGUGAAAUGCGUAGAGAUGUGGAGGAACACCAGUGGCGAAGGCGACUCUCUGGUCUGUAACUGACGCUGAGGCGCGAAAGCGUGGGGAGCAAACAGG
Molecule: ribosomal RNA, 253 nt
Filed under: uncultured bacterium
Lineage: Bacteria
Description: partial 16S ribosomal RNA
Rfam family: Bacterial small subunit ribosomal RNA
Source: RNAcentral